This 433-nucleotide ribosomal RNA is filed under the name uncultured bacterium. RNAcentral describes it as "partial 16S ribosomal RNA". It matches the Rfam family "Bacterial small subunit ribosomal RNA", at positions 29 to 507 of the family's 1533-position model. The record is from RNAcentral.
AACGAACGCUGGCGGCAUGCCUAACACAUGCAAGUCGAACGAGACCUUCGGGUCUAGUGGCGCACGGGUGCGUAACGCGUGGGAACCUGCCCUUAGGUUCGGAAUAACCCCCCGAAAGGGGUGCUAAUACCGGAUAAUGUCUUCGGACCAAAGAUUUAUCGCCUUUGGAUGGGCCCGCGUUGGAUUAGCUAGUUGGUAGGGUAAAAGCCUACCAAGGCGACGAUCCAUAGCUGGUCUGAGAGGAUGCUCAGCCACACUGGGACUGAGACACGGCCCAGACUCCUACGGGAGGCAGCAGUGGGGAAUAUUGGACCAUGGGCGAAAGCCUGCUCCAGCAAUGCCGCGUGAGUGAUGAAGGCCUUAGGGUUGUAAAGCUCUUUUACCCGGGAUGAUAAUGACAGUACCGGGAGAAUAAGCUCCGGCUAACUCCGUG